UUCUUUAAUAUAGUUAUCCUUUUAAAAGAUCAACCCUUAAAUAGAGAGUCCAAUAAGCCUAACUUGGUUAUUUGACUAGAGAGUUCAAUAAGCCAAACUUAGUUGUUUGACUGGUUGCCAACACAGUUUCACAUGGGAUUUGGAAAAGCAGAGUGAACUAGCAAUAGAAUUAUGAAUCUGAAAAUGAAUGUUCAAAACCAUACAUGGCUAAGAAAAGGCAUGCCAAGAGUUAGUUCUAAAAGAUAUUGUGACCAUACUUGGAGAUGUAUCAG
This 272-nucleotide unclassified non-coding RNA is filed under the name Hevea brasiliensis (rubber tree). Lineage: Eukaryota; Viridiplantae; Streptophyta; Magnoliopsida; Malpighiales; Euphorbiaceae. The record is from RNAcentral.